Molecule: unclassified non-coding RNA, 346 nt
Filed under: soil metagenome
Description: partial contains 5.8S ribosomal RNA, internal transcribed spacer 2, and large subunit ribosomal RNA
Rfam family: 5.8S ribosomal RNA (bases 1-120)
Source: RNAcentral
GAUGAAGAACGUAGCGAAAUGCGAUAAGUAAUGUGAAUUGCAGAAUUCCGUGAAUCAUCGAGUCUUUGAACGCACAUUGCGCCCCCUGGUAUUCCGGGGGGCAUGCCUGUCCGAGCGUCAUUGCUGCCCUCAAGCACGGCUUGUGUGUUGGGCCCCGUCCUCCGAUUCCGGGGGACGGGCCCGAAAGGCAGCGGCGGCACCGCGUCCGGUCCUCGAGCGUAUGGGGCUUUGUCACCCGCUCUGUAGGCCCGGCCGGCGCUUGCCGAUCAACCCAAAUUUUUAUCCAGGUUGACCUCGGAUCAGGUAGGGAUACCCGCUGAACUUAAGCAUAUCAAUAAGCGGAGGA